Molecule: ribosomal RNA, 682 nt
Filed under: Salmonella enterica subsp. enterica serovar Kentucky
Lineage: Bacteria; Pseudomonadati; Pseudomonadota; Gammaproteobacteria; Enterobacterales; Enterobacteriaceae
Description: bacterial SSU rRNA
Rfam family: Bacterial small subunit ribosomal RNA
Source: RNAcentral
ACUUAAAUUGAAGAGUUUGAUCAUGGCUCAGAUUGAACGCUGGCGGCAGGCCUAACACAUGCAAGUCGAACGGUAGCACAGAGAGCUUGCUCUCGGGUGACGAGUGGCGGACGGGUGAGUAAUGUCUGGGAAACUGCCCGAUGGAGGGGGAUAACUACUGGAAACGGUAGCUAAUACCGCAUAACGUCGCAAGACCAAAGUGGGGGACCUUCGGGCCUCACACCAUCGGAUGUGCCCAGAUGGGAUUAGCUAGUAGGUGGGGUAACGGCUCACCUAGGCGACGAUCCCUAGCUGGUCUGAGAGGAUGACCAGCCACACUGGAACUGAGACACGGUCCAGACUCCUACGGGAGGCAGCAGUGGGGAAUAUUGCACAAUGGGCGCAAGCCUGAUGCAGCCAUGCCGCGUGUAUGAAGAAGGCCUUCGGGUUGUAAAGUACUUUCAGCGGGGAGGAAGGUGUUGUGGUUAAUAACCGCAGCAAUUGACGUUACCCGCAGAAGAAGCACCGGCUAACUCCGUGCCAGCAGCCGCGGUAAUACGGAGGGUGCAAGCGUUAAUCGGAAUUACUGGGCGUAAAGCGCACGCAGGCGGUUUGUUAAGUCAGAUGUGAAAUCCCCGGGCUCAACCUGGGAACUGCAUUUGAAACUGGCAAGCUUGAGUCUCGUAGAGGGGGGUAGAAUUCC